GUUCAACAUUCAGUGCAAACAUUCAUUACCAACAUGUAAUGAACAUGUACCAACAUGUGUGAAAAAAGUACUAUUAUAAGCAGUUACUUUUUCAGUAUCGUAUUGAUAUCACAGCAGUGUCCUGGCAGAAAACAACAGAUGACACCACGGCGCUACAACAAGGCCAAACUCACAGUAGGAAAGCUUUUAUUUACAAAGUAGCGAAUCUCCACAUGAACACAAGUGUCAUAUUUGUUUCUUAGAGAAAGCGGUCUGUCUUUUUCAUAAUGCCAAAACAUGUAGGAUGAGAUUUCUUAUUGUAUUUUUAUUACAUCUGAUGUUAUAAACUCUUAAAAAUACUCUUAUCUUCUUUUAUUUUUUCAGACAUGCAAAAUGGCUCAGCCUUAACAGCCAGGCCUCAAACCUCGCUGCCGAGGCGAUCUUCCAGAGUCCACCAGGACGAAGUGAAAUUCAUACAGCAAGGCAGAGUGUGAUAAGCAGAAGAGAUAUACAACAUGGCGGACAUGAUCUUCAAUAUGAGGACACAGGGACGGGAAGAAGCCGACUGUGGUGAGGUGGAGACCCCAAGUUCCCUCAUCCAGGAGCUCAGUGACCUCAGGUCUACACUACAGGAGAGACGUCGGGUCUGUCCUGAACGCAGCACAAUGUUGGAUCAUGUUUGGACAAAAAAAACAAAAAAACACUGCCAGAUGCUCCA
This is a long non-coding RNA of Xiphophorus hellerii (green swordtail), 697 nucleotides long. RefSeq lists it as uncharacterized. Lineage: Eukaryota; Metazoa; Chordata; Actinopteri; Cyprinodontiformes; Poeciliidae. The record is from RefSeq and is a predicted model, not a curated record. The transcript is spliced from 3 exons.